RNAcentral lists this long non-coding RNA (1195 nucleotides) under Rattus norvegicus (Norway rat). Its description in RNAcentral is "long non-coding RNA NONRATT009541". The record is from RNAcentral. Lineage: Eukaryota; Metazoa; Chordata; Mammalia; Rodentia; Muridae.
GUCGGGCCACGGCGGGAACUCCAACCCCUAUCGGCAACUCCACUGAGUCAUUCCUGCCACCCCCAGAGACAAGCGCCCCCCAGUUUGAGCGUCCCAGCUGUGGCCGGCGCGACCGCGAUCCCACUCCACUUACCCGUGGACGCCAUUUUCUCUCCUUCCUCCUCGUUCUCUCAACGUCCGUCUCCCUCUCGCGUUCCCCCUAGGCGCCGCACUGCGCAGGCGCGAAACCCGCAACCUCGGACGCUACCAUAGGGCCAGGCCACGGGGGUGGGCGAAGAGAAACGAGCCGGCGAUAUCCGGCUCUUUGCUCCCGAAACCGUUGACCCAAUCCUCUCCAAAGAGCCGGACGUGACGCGUGGUCUAAAAAAGGCACCUCAGGGGUCAGCGCGCUAGUGAGCGAGUGUUCCCAACAAACCCGAGGGAUCCUCUGCACGAGGCUUGGUGGCUUGGAAUGAAAACUCAGGCCCAAGAAAUUGAGUACUUCCCCUAGAGUUACAAAGCUGAAUCCGACCCAGACCCCGGGACUCCCCUCUCUGUGCUCCACCCGGAAGCUUCUCCACUGUCCUUGAUUUCCCAUUCUGUCCUCCUGGCUUCCCAGUAAGAUAUGGUUGGAGGAGUGUUACCGGCUUGCCUAUGAUGUAUGAGACCCUAGUUUCCAUUCCUAUCGCCAAGAAAGAGAAGAGACUGGUCCAGAGGACUCGAGGCCCAGUUCUGUAUGUCCAUGGACCUGUCCCUUAGUGCCCAGGGAUGGAAUGGUUGUGAGAAGGUGCAAGAGGAAGCUUCAUUUUAGGUGACCCUGCCUCCAGUACUGGGAAACAAAUCCAGCUGCCUAUGUAUGGCUAGCAUCCAGCCUCAGGACCACCUUUGACCACCAUCAACAAAGCUAUGCAUGCCUGGGACCCCCCUGCCUCACUGUCCCGGGCACUACCCCUCGCUUCCUCGGUCCUGAUGCUGCUGCUGAGCUGCCUGUGGUUGCUGGGGGCUGGCCCCAGCCUCAGUGCACCGGCUGCUGACCCAUGCUCUGGGCCACACUGCACUGCCUGGCCUGCUCCUGAGCCUGCUGCUCCUGCCCACUCUGGGCUGGUGGCAGGAGUGUCAUCUGGGCACUCUGCGCUUCCUGCACAACUCCGCCGUGCUUGCCCUGGCUACUGGGCUGCUGGCUGUGCUGCUGGCAGGCCUUGGCCUGUCCAGUGCA